AUUGAACGCUGGCGGCAGGCCUAACACAUGCAAGUCGAACGGUAACAGGAAGAAGCUUGCUUCUUUGCUGACGAGUGGCGGACGGGUGAGUAAUGUCUGGGAAACUGCCUGAUGGAGGGGGAUAACUACUGGAAACGGUAGCUGAUACCGCAUAACGUCGCAAGACCAAAGAGGGGGACCUUCGGGCCUCUUGCCAUCGGAUGUGCCCAGAUGGGAUUAGCUAGUAGGUGGGGUAACGGCUCACCUAGGCGACGAUCCCUAGCUGGUCUGAGAGGAUGACCAGCCACACUGGAACUGAGACACGGUCCAGACUCCUACGGGAGGCAGCAGUGGGGAAUAUUGCACAAUGGGCGCAAGCCUGAUGCAGCCAUGCCGCGUGUAUGAAGAAGGCCUUCGGGUUGUAAAGUACUUUCAGCGGGGAGGAAGGGAGUAAAGUUAAUACCUUGGCUCAUUGACGUUACCCGCAGAAGAAGCACCGGCUAACUCCGUG
This 490-nucleotide ribosomal RNA is filed under the name uncultured bacterium. Its description in RNAcentral is "partial 16S ribosomal RNA". It matches the Rfam family "Bacterial small subunit ribosomal RNA", at positions 30 to 507 of the family's 1533-position model. The record is from RNAcentral.